CAGUGUAGAGAUAUUGGGGUGAGAGUGUAGGUAGUUGUUAGAAAAUAACUUAUAUUGAGCGUAACCAACAUAAAAAAUUACUUGGAUGUCUACUCACUCGUUAGUGAUUUUCUCGAUGCUGCAGUGGUGUGACUGAUCUUUUGAUCUGUGGUGUGUUGGCUAUUCACAGUGAGGCUAUAUAGUUUGACUGUACGUUUCUUUGGUCCCUAGUCAUAUGGAUCUUGGCUGUGUAUGUUGGCUAUGUCGUUGUUUGAAGUAAGAUACACCUAUAUGGAAUCUAUCGACCUUGGUAGAA
RNAcentral lists this long non-coding RNA (295 nucleotides) under Elaeis guineensis (African oil palm). RNAcentral describes it as "long non-coding RNA (EGUI_LNC078023)". The record is from RNAcentral. Lineage: Eukaryota; Viridiplantae; Streptophyta; Magnoliopsida; Arecales; Arecaceae.